GUAGGUGGCAAGCGUUGUCCGGAAUUAUUGGGCGUAAAGCGCGCGCAGGCGGUUCUUUAAGUCUGAUGUGAAAGCCCACGGCUCAACCGUGGAGGGUCAUUGGAAACUGGAGAACUUGAGUACAGAAGAGGAAAGCGGAAUUCCACGUGUAGCGGUGAAAUGCGUAGAGAUGUGGGGGAACACCAGUGGCGAAGGCGGCUUUCUGGUCUGUAACUGACGCUGAGGCGCGAAAGCGUGGGGAGCAAACAGGGAUUAGAUACCCUGGUAGUCCACGCCGUAAACGAUGAGUGCUAAGUGUUAGGGGGGUUUCCGCCCCCUUAGUGCUGCAGCUAACGCAUUAAGCACUCCGCCUGGGGAUACGGCCGCAAGGCUG
Molecule: ribosomal RNA, 373 nt
Filed under: uncultured organism
Description: partial 16S ribosomal RNA
Rfam family: Bacterial small subunit ribosomal RNA
Source: RNAcentral